UCAAUUGGUAAGGUGCUUGCCUAGCAUGCAU
RNAcentral lists this non-coding RNA (31 nucleotides) under Rattus norvegicus (Norway rat). Lineage: Eukaryota; Metazoa; Chordata; Mammalia; Rodentia; Muridae. The record is from RNAcentral.